Non-coding RNA from Erythranthe guttata (spotted monkey flower), 719 nucleotides. The record is from RefSeq and is a predicted model, not a curated record. NCBI's taxonomy places the organism in Eukaryota, Viridiplantae, Streptophyta, Magnoliopsida, Lamiales, Phrymaceae.
UUUUUCUUUUCCGUAAAAAAGCUUUUAUCAUGUUUUCCAAGAAACGAGAUGUCAACUUUAGCUUACUGAAUAUCAAAUUAACAUAAUUAAAUCCGGGUUCAGUUUCUCGCGAGUCCAAUCAGAUUUUAAUUUUAGGAUCCCUUAUGAUCUUUAUUUAGCCAACUUAUUAAUUUGAAUUAUCUGUUUAGGUUCUGCUGAUGUUGCAGUUUCCUCCUGAGUGAGAAAUCUUUUCUGAAGAAGAAUAAUUAUCUUUGGUCGUAUUACAAGUGUUCUGAGCUUGAAUCCAUCCUGGUUUAUUAUGAACAUCAUGGCCCGUUAACAGUAGCGACAUCUCUCCCUUUGGUGGAGUUCGAAAAGAAAACUGAAAAUCUCUGAUCAAAAGUGUCCAACUAAAAAAGUUUACGGUUGGCUCCAUUGAUUUAUAUUGCAGGGAGAGCCGUUGCAUGGAUAUUCUUCUUCAAGUAUAAAAUGAACCCUCACUCUUUAUUUUCUAUUUAAAUAAUAAUAAAAAAAAAAAAAAACAGAUUAUUUGUUACUCCUCACGAGUGAUCAUAGGCACUUGGGGAACUUCAUUCUUGGAAAAUCAUCGUGUUCUUGAAGUAUAGUGAUGGUGAUUUCGAAUAUUCACCCUGGAAUUUUAUGUAAUUACCGUGUUCUUGAAGUAUAGUUAUGGUGAUUUUCGAUUAACAUGUGAUAUAUAUUUUUACUUGUUCAUUUUA